RNAcentral lists this long non-coding RNA (1878 nucleotides) under Sus scrofa (pig). RNAcentral describes it as "lncRNA (ENSSSCG00045000997.1)". Lineage: Eukaryota; Metazoa; Chordata; Mammalia; Artiodactyla; Suidae. The record is from RNAcentral.
GGGUUCCAGCUGGACGGCAGGACGCGGGGCCGCGCCGCGAGGAGCGCUGGGUGGCACACGCGGUGCCCAGGCCGCUCCUGUGCGUCCCCGCGGAUGGCCAGCUCCAACAGCUGUGCGAGUAAAGGUGACCUGAGCUGAGGGUCACGUGCACGACCCGCAUCAGAAAAUAACCCCAAAACGCGUAGCUCACUUCAGAACGUUAAAGCAGAGGAAGGCUGCCCCUUCUUGCUCUCGCGCGUAGGAGACGCAGCAGUGCAGCCGUUUUUGGCCGACAAGACAGGACAGCAUCCUACCUCCGGGGGCGGCAAAGGGGCCCGUGGCGGGUCCUGGCACGCGUGUCUUCUCUGGUCUUUGGACCUGGGGCAGAGGACGCAGAGCAGAGGCCAGCGGAGGCUGCGGGCCAGCAGGCCCUCUCCGGGAUGCCAGAACGAGCCUCGGACGCGGGCCCGCGGGGUGUAUUUUGGGAGGCCAGCCUCGGGCCGCCGCUGAGAGGGCUGCAGGCUGGCGUCACGGAGACACCACCGGAAGGAAGGCCUGAGAGUUCUGGAGCCCAGCGCCAAGGGCCCAGCCCCGGAAGAGCAGCCGGGCUGCAGCGAGCACUGCUCUCGGGCUGAAAGAAGAAAAACACACGUCUUUGUAAUUCCACUAAGAAGAGCAAGUUUUGGGGGGUAUUGGCCAUGCAUGUAGCAGCUCGAAGUUCCCAGGCCAGGGACAGAAACUGCGCCACAGCAGCAACCCAAUCUGCUGCAGUGACGACGCUGCAUCCUUAACCCAUUGCACCACAAGAGAACUCUGAGAAGUAUCAUGUUCAAGAAACAUACGUGUAUAUGACGCCCAAAAGUUAUUUUAAAAAUAAAUUGUCAGGAGUUCCCGUUGUGGUUCAGUGUUUAGCAAAUCCGAUUAGGAACCAUGAGGUUGCGGGUUCAAUCCCUGGCCUUGCUCAGUGGGUUAAGGAUCUGGGGUUGCUGUGAGCUGUGGUGUAGGUUGCUGACGCAGCUCGGAUCCCGCAUUGCUGUGGCUCUGGUGUAGGCUGGUGGCUACAGCUCUGAUUCGACCCUGAGCCUAGGAACCUCCAUAUGCCUCGGGAGCGGCCCUAGAAAAGGCAAAAAAAGAAAAUAAUAAUAAAAACUGCUAGGAGUUCCCCGGCGGCCUAGCGUUUAAGGACCCGGGGUUGUCACUGCUGUGGCGCAGUGACAGGAUGGGAUCCUGGGCCUGGGAACUUCUGGCAUGCCUCGGCGCGGCUGAAAAGCUAACAAACAAAAAAGUAUCUAGUCAACUGUCAAAUCACUGUAGGAAAGGGAACUGAAGAAAGGCUCUAUGGGUAGGACCAUUUGUUGACUACCUAUUCUGUGCCACACGCUAGCUGAGUAUGGUCCACGCGCCACGCGCAAUCUCAUUACGCGUCACGACAGCCUCAGGAGUGGACGCAUCAUUCCCAAAGUUACAGUUCAGGACGCAAGCCCAAGCAGCACAGCUCGGGAAGUGGCAGAGCCAGGGCGGGAGGAGUAAGAGAUCCACAGUGGCUACCCCUGCCCUGCUUCCGAAAAGAGAGUACCUGCUUCCCUAACUCUGAACCCUGACAGGUGCUGCCAGCCUGCACGGGGCGGGGCUGACACGCACCGAGGAGAGUCGGGGAAACUGGGUCCACCGCCUGCCUACACCCACUUGCAGCGGCGCAAACCGAGGCUCACAGCUCAGCGAAGGAGCAGCUCCCCAACCAGAAAACGCCAAGCCGGACUCCGGAGCAAGGGCCCGAGCUGGGCCCACCGAGGAAGGCUCUCUGGGCUUCGGCCUCUCCACCGCUUCUCUACGCUCAGCACGCGAGAUGCGCUCGAGCCGGACUCGCCGCGCCGCUGGCCACGGCGGUGUCUCCGACAG